Molecule: ribosomal RNA, 445 nt
Filed under: uncultured bacterium
Lineage: Bacteria
Description: bacterial SSU rRNA
Rfam family: Bacterial small subunit ribosomal RNA
Source: RNAcentral
ACCAGACUCCUACGGGAGGCAGCAGUGGGGGAUAUUGCACAAUGGGGGGAACCCUGAUGCAGCGACGCCGCGUGGGUGAAGAAGCGCCUCGGCGCGUAAAGCCCUGUCAGCAGGGAAGAAAAUGACGGUACCUGAAGAAGAAGCCCCGGCUAACUACGUGCCAGCAGCCGCGGUAAUACGUAUGGGGCAAGCGUUAUCCGGAUUUACUGGGUGUAAAGGGAGCGCAGGCGGCGCGGCAAGUCAGAUGUGAAAGCCCGGGGCUCAACCCCGGGACUGCAUUUGAAACUGCCGUGCUGGAGUGUCGGAGAGGCAAGUGGAAUUCCUAGUGUAGCGGUGAAAUGCGUAGAUAUUAGGAGGAACACCAGUGGCGAAGGCGGCUUGCUGGACGAUAACUGACGCUGAGGCUCGAAAGCGUGGGGAGCAAACAGGAUUAGAUACCCUCGUA